CCUACGGGGAGCAGCAGUGGGGAAUAUUGGGCAAUGGGCGCAAGCCUGACCCAGCAACGCCGCGUGAAGGAAGAAGGCUUUCGGGUUGUAAACUUCUUUUCUCAGGGACGAAGCAAGUGACGGUACCUGAGGAAUAAGCCACGGCUAACUACGUGCCAGCAGCCGCGGUAAUACGUAGGUGGCAAGCGUUAUCCGGAUUUACUGGGUGUAAAGGGCGUGUAGGCGGGAAAGCAAGUCAGAUGUGAAAACCAUGGGCUCAACCUGUGGCCUGCAUUUGAAACUGUUUUUCUUGAGUACUGGGGAGGCAGACGGAAUUCCUAGUGUAGCGGUGAAAUGCGUAGAUAUUAGGAGGAACACCAGUGGCGAAGGCGGUCUGCUGGACAGCAACUGACGCUGAGGCGCGAAAGCGUGGGGAGCAAACAGGAUUAGAUACCCCUGUAGUC
Molecule: ribosomal RNA, 443 nt
Filed under: uncultured bacterium
Lineage: Bacteria
Description: partial 16S ribosomal RNA
Rfam family: Bacterial small subunit ribosomal RNA
Source: RNAcentral